Pomacea canaliculata is the source of this 6837-nucleotide RNA transcript. RefSeq lists it as uncharacterized. NCBI's taxonomy places the organism in Eukaryota, Metazoa, Mollusca, Gastropoda, Architaenioglossa, Ampullariidae. The transcript is spliced from 7 exons. The record is from RefSeq and is a predicted model, not a curated record.
UGUCCUCAUCAAAAAAGGGAUUUUUAGAGGUAUCACAGGUUACACUAUCUAUGCUUUUACGUAAAACUUUGAAAUGGGGAAGAUAUUGGAAUAUAACUAUGUAAGUAUGCAUAUAUAAUCGCAUUUUCAAGUAUGCAAUAUUUUAUCAUACUUAUUAUGUCCCUGCUACUAUCAAUUCCAGUUUGUUUCAAAAGGUGGAUAAAGGUGGGUAUUUAUCAUUUAUUUUUAAGAAAAUACUGUCUUUGGCACUGACACAGCUGUGGAUGCUUUCUAGAGUAAGAGGGAGGAAAUGAUAGUGUUAUCAAUGUUGUAUUAAUGCUGUAGUUAUCUUCCUUCACCUUCACAUCCCAAUUUUUAUUUUUGCAUAUUUGUAGUAUCGGGGUUUCUCUCUUUCUUGUCUGUUGUUUCUUUCCUUCAUCUAAGGAGGACUUAAACCACGAAAGAUCUUUCUCUCUUACACACAGAGAGGUCACCGCACCCUGAUCAACACAUGCAGCUGCCCAGUGUGUACAUGAAGUAUUUAAACUGCCGUGAAUUGUCUUUUAAAGAUUUCAUAGGGAGUGUACAUCCCAAUAUGAUUAUUUGCUCAUUAAUGCAAACAAAUCUUAAUUAAUCAAUGUGUAUAAAAGAAGCCUACGAUAGUACAAUACUAUUUGUCUAUGGGGAAAUAAUAAGUAUUGUUCGUGAUUUUCUAAAUAUUUCGUACAAGAGGCCGAUACGUUUUUUAGAUACUAAAUAUAUUACAGUAAUAUCAAAGCGUGAUGAGGAAAUUAACAAAAAAGUAACAGUAUGUGAUUUUCCUUUGUCAGAAAUAUAAAAAGUAUCACUUCCUUGAAACUGCGAGAAAAACAAGGUGUCCACUUCUUUGACACUGUUAUGUUAACAUAAUCAUUGAGUAUCAUGAGCUGUACAUACAGACGAGCAUUAAACAUAUAUUAGUACUUUGACGCUGGAGACAUUUAAAGACAUUUCAUACUGUGUUUGUUAUGUUGUUGAGUACUGUAAGACUGGUAAACACACACGAGUUUUAUCGAAAAAAAAAUCCAUGUCCUUCACCGAGGAUCUUAUUAUUCCUUGCUGCUUGGGAGGAGUAUGUUCUCUCUUGUGUGACGGGUAGUACUGAUGUUUACAUUUCCUUCUAGGUAACUCGAGUCGUAUGUAGUUUGCUUUAGUCGACUGAUUCAGAAACACAGGAAAUAUCUGUUUUAUUUCCGCGAGCUUGCGUGCUCUCGACUACAUUGUCUUGGUUAUUAGAUCAUCGUGUUUGACUAAAAUGUAUUUGUGUAACAGUCGAGAAGAUUAUUAUGCUAGUGGUGUUACAAUGUACACAAUUCUAAACAUUUCUCGCUGUCUUAUUAUCCUGUGGUUUGUGAUGUUGGCAACCGACACGAAGUGCCAGACGACAAAUAAACCAUGUGUUGAUCUACAACUCACCAGUGGUUCUGAAGACGAUGUGGUUCAGGAAACUGAGGACGGUGAUGUCCACAUAACCUUUGUGAUAUCAGACAACUGUACGGGCAGCUCCACUCGUGCUUUGGUAAAACUUUCAACACAAGGGGCAGACCUACUUGUUGAUUUUUGCACUGUUUAUUUUCAGAAUAACACUUGUAAUGUUACUGACAAGCCUUUAGGACAUCAUUGUAUAAAGACAGAACUUGACAGGUGCUCAGUCUCAUGGAAGGUCAAGACUACAGACAAGCUGUUGAAGCUGAGGCUGACGAAUAUAAUUACAAAGGAAGAAAAAGUCAUUUCGCUUAAUAUUACAGGGCCUCCCAGUAAAAAGCGAGGGACAGCAGAAAUCAUCGGGAUUUCUGUUGGGGUUCUUGUGGCUGUCAUUACUGUUGCUGUCCUCAUCAGAACAAUGAUUUUUAGAGGAGGCUGUAGUGAAAAACCAGUGACGGAACACAGUUCCUUGACUACCUGGCAUGUCUCGGUCAGACAGACCCACCGAAACACCGGGACAUCUAGAAGUCAGGCAAAGGUAGACAUCCAGUCGCCACCAGGUAAUCUAGAACCUUCUGAAAGUCAGCAGCUAGUUGGUCAUCAAACUAUAUCAUCUAUCUCUACCUUUUCAAAAAGAAUAGGUUGGGUGUGAACCAUUUUAUACUAAUAAGCGGUAAGUUCACCAGAAGUCUUGGAGAAGUAUACAAUUCAAUUAAGCAAUCAAAGCAUUAUAAUUUCAUAGGCCAGAGAAAACUGAAUAACUAUCGUGAAGUGUUACAGCAACUACUAGGGAUGCACAAAUACACUCAUUUACUCCACAUUAAAAAAAAUAUAGUAAUCAGAAGAGACGCAGAAUUAUUCAAGGAGGUUUAUUAACCAUCUGCUACUGCAACUCCCGUAAGUCAGACAGAAGUACGGAAUCAAAUAAUAGCCUCAAUUAACAUCAGAAAGGAUGGACGAGUAAUUAUUCGUACUUAACCAAGCCAGAAUAUUCUCGAAGACACAGUUACAAGAGAUUAUGCUUUUUCAUCCUCCCAGACGGAAUUAAGAACAACGAAACAGUACAGUCAUACAGUCAUGCUAUACUUAACAGGAAUUCCGAUUUCAUAACCAUGACACAGGUUUUUUUUACUGUUGUACUAUCCAGUACAACACAGUACAAAUACCAAAAUUAUCUGUAUUUGUUUUUUUGGGGAAAUGGAUUCUUUUAAAUUUUCUUCCAACUGUAACAUCAUGGUUAAAUCCUACAACAGAAGUUUCUUUAGCACUGACACAAUGGAGGAUGCUUUUUAGAGUAAUAAGGAGGACAUGAUAGCAUCAUUAUUGUUGUAUUAAGGCUGUCGUUAUCUUCCUUCACUUUCAUGUCCCCAAUUUCCUUUUUGCAUAUUUGUAGUAUCGGAGUUUCUCUCUUUCUUCAUGAUUUCUAUUUCCUUUAUCUAAGGAGGACCCGAAACACAAAAAUCUUUCUCUCUGUCCCUCUCUCUGUGCUCUAACACACAGAUCAGCACACACUCUGAUCAACACAUGCAUCUGCACAGUGUGUACAUGAAGUAUUUAACUGGCUCGACAUGUCUAUUAAUGAUAUAUUAUGGCGUGUAUAUCCCACUACGAUUAUUUGCUCAUUAAUACAAACAAAUCGCAACCAAUGUAUCCGAAAGAAGGCAUAGAUAGUUUCAUGUUAUUUAUCUAUGAUGAAAUAAUAGGUAUAAUUUGCUAUUUUCUGAAAGUUUUUACAAGGUUCCUAUACAUAUGUUAGAUACGAAAUGUAUUACAGUAAUAUACAAGGAUAGGGAAAUUAACAAAAAAGAACAGUGAUGUCCCUUUGUCAGAAACAUAGAAAGUAUCACUUAUUUGAAACUUCGAGAAAACAUGGCGACCACUUUUUUUGACACUGUUAAAUUACCAUAAUUAUUGCGUAGCUUGACUUGCACGUACAGACCAGCCUUAAACAUAUGCUAGUGCUUUGAUGAUGAAGACGUUUAUAGACAUCUCAUUUUGUGCUUACUACGGUGUUGGAGAUUCGAGAUCGCUGGCACAUGUAAGUAAUCUUAAAUAAUUUUUUUGUUUGGGGGGGGAGGGGGAAUCAUUGUACAUUUUCUGAUGUCUACGGUUUUCUUAUAAUAAUUGUAAACUCUAAGCACUUCCUUUAAAAUGGCUAAUUGAAUCUUAGACUAGAUGGUUCAGAGUGCGACCAGCACAUUUAAAAUGACAGUACUAGUGUUUCGUUAGUCUCGCAGUUCUUGAAGUUCUGUGUCCAGAACCCUUUCGCCCUACUUCAUUUAUUUUUUGUGUGUCCUAGAAAACCUUUAUAUUGAGGGUUACAGGGUAAAACAACAUCUAUAAGGUAUAGAAAGACACUUUAUAACCUUAAAAACAGGACAAUUAUUUUAAAGCUUGUUAUGUUGCCCCCUGGCAGCGAUCUCCUUAAUUAGUAAGGUAGGGGUGUACGUGUGUAUGUAUAGCUGCAUUUAAGAAUGCAAUCUCAUUAACGUUGCUUAUAGCAUAAUAUUUAACUUAUGCUAUACAAAUCUUGAAAUUGGGGACAGAAAAAGAUAAAAGUUACAUUAGCAAUUCUCUCUUUUUCUGUACAUUGCAUACAAGACUGUGUCUCUGUCUUUAGGAAAACAUUACAGAAAUAUGUAAAUUAAGAUAUGCAAAAUUCCACAUCCAGCAGGUAGGAAGUGGACUAUAUAUAUACAGGAUAGAGUGAUCUUUAGACUCCCUAUAUAACAUACGGACAUUUGUUAAAAAGUGAUCUCAACUCUACGGAAUGAACGGCUUGUAGUGCUGGGUGAGUUCGUCAGCCCCCUUCGUCGGUUAUUGUUUCAAUCAUGGGACGUUUGGGCUCUACAGUAUCCUUACUUGUGUUUUCACGGCAAGACUAGUUUUGUGGGCCCUAGAAGCAUAAAAUGUCAAAAACACAUGAGCUUCGUGGAAAAUAAGAUAGACUCCAUGUCCUUCAGCAAGAGUCCUAUAUAUUCCGCGCUGCAAGGGACUGGUAUGUUUAAUCUUGUGUGACAGCUGGUGUUUUUGUUAUAGCUGUAGCCUUUACUUUCUUAUACAACUGCUUAAACAUUUCCUUAUGGAAUACGUCUAGUCGCAUGUAGUAUUCUUUAGUCGACUCAUUCAGAAACACCGGAAAUAUCUGUUUUAUUUCCGCGAGCUUGCGUGCACGUGACUACAUUGUCUUGGUUAUUAGAUCAUCGUGUUCGCCUCAUGUAUGUGUAUGUGUAACAGUCGAGACGAGUGGUAUACUAGUGAUGUUACAAUGCACACAUUUGUGAACAUUUCUCGCUGUCUUAUUAUCUCGUGUUUUGUGAUGUUGGCAACCGACACGAGCUACCAGACGACAAAUAAACCAUAAUAACACUUGCAAUGUUACUGACAAGCCUAUAGGACAUCAUUGUAUAAAUACAAAUCAUAGCCAGUGCUCUAUCUCAUGGAAGGUCCAGACUACAGACAAGUUGUUGAAGUUGAGGCUGACUAAUAUAAUUACAAAGGAAGAAAAAGUCAUUUCGCUUAAUAUUACAGGAUCUGCCAAGAAAAAACAAGGAACACCAGAGAUCAUCGGGAUUUGUUGUGGAAUUGUUGUGGCUGUCAUUACUGCUGCUGUCAUCAUCAAAAAAUAUAUUUUUAAAGGAUCCUGUGCCAGGCAGUUACAGAUUCAAGUAAAAGAAGACAGACAAACGACUUCCUCCAAUGUCGGUGCCAGUCAGUCCCGACGAAACACUUGGUCAUCCUCAGGACGUCAGGCACAGGAAGACACUCAAGUGAGACCAAGUAGUCUUGACCAUCCUGGAAGUCAGCAACAACUAGUUAAUCAUCAAAAUAAAUCAUCCAUUCCUGCCAUUCCCAAAAGAAAGAGAAGAAUAUACGACCAUAUUGUCCAGCCAAGCGUUACAACCACCAGAACUGUUGAAGAUGCGUAUAGUCAUAUUCAACCAUCCACCCAUAAACCUCUAAGUAGACAGAAAGCUGUAAACAGUUAUAACCCUGACGCUAUAGCAACCAAAGGUAAGACACAAAAACACAGACAUGCUCCACUAGCAAGAAAUGUUGUAAUCAGAAGGGAGGCAGAACUGUAUAAUCAUAGUACAUCAUUCGCUACAACAACUGGUAGAAGCAAGAGAGAAGUACUCAGUCACACAAGCCCGAAUCCAUCUAACGAUUCAUUUACCAGAAAUCCUGGCCAGUUGCAAAUUCAUAAUACAUCCUCCUCCCUAAAAGAAUUAAGAAGCCCUGAACAAUUAUACAAUCAUGCUAUACCAUCUAGAAUGUCAGUUGGAUCCAGUCCGUCUGACUCAGGUUGUCUGACUAUUGUACAAUUCAAAACAGUUCCUCCCAUAAAACAAGAACAGUUAUGUAAUAAUAAUCCACUAUCAAGCUGUACAGUUGCCAGAAGUCUGGACCAGUUAUACAAUCAUAUAGGCAGCUCUUCAAGUCCCAGAAGUGAGAGAGACAAACAGAAUCCCACAACACAGCGCCCCUACUCAGUUGGUCAGGAACCUGUGCAAAGCGAGAGAACUCUUUACGAUCAGGCAGUGUUGCCAACAAAUUACCGACGACAAGUAGUCUGUUCAAUGUAUGAUUAUGUCAGCUACUAAACUUUCUUCAUGGUUGAUUAUUUUGCAUAAUAGACAUAAUUGCAGGCUGUUACUUAUUAAUAACUAAUUAAGAUGGUAUCUUGGCAAUAAGAAGCUUGUGGCUGGUUUUACAAUGCAAAGAAUGUUAAUGUUUUUAUUUUGUUAUUUGAUGAUUUAUUGACGUGAAUGCUAUAUAUAUAUAGUUAUAACUCGUGGGCAAAAUAUGUUAUAUCCUUCUUGCUUUGUUUGUUAUAUUAAAUCAUUUAAGAUGUAAGAGCAGGUAAAUCGUGAUGCAGGGUAGAAGCUCUCGUCACAGUUUAAAAUGUGUUUGUCCUCAGAAUAUUCUCAAUUGCUUGAUUUCUUUUAUUAAGCAUAUGAAAAAAUGAAUUAAUGUUUGUAGCGUCUUCUAUGAGGCUUGUUUACAUAAUAAGUAACAAAAAAGUUAAUUUUAUAACAUUCACUUUGGAGGAUUCUAUUGUUUUUGCUUUGUUUAAAAUCAUAUCUGGUCAUAAAUAAUGAAACAUUUAUGUUUGUGACACGUGCGAACAAUAAUUUCCUCUUUUAGUUUUAAAUUUAACUUUGUUUGGAGAAUACUUUUUUUAUGAAAUCUGCUAUUGUUUCCAGAAGGCCUUCCUUAUAAACAGUGUCAAUAAGUCAUAGAACUAUUUGUUAUUGUUUACAUAAACUUAACUAUUUCCUCAGACUAACCAAGCUUUUCAAAAAGUCAAGUUGUAACACUCUGGGGACACUCACACAUUUUUGUAUUAAAGUUAUAUGUAUUAAAGAAAAUUCCGAGACACGAAUUUUUUUC